This 325-nucleotide ribosomal RNA is filed under the name uncultured Streptococcus sp. RNAcentral describes it as "bacterial SSU rRNA". It matches the Rfam family "Bacterial small subunit ribosomal RNA", at positions 1055 to 1382 of the family's 1533-position model. The record is from RNAcentral. Lineage: Bacteria; Bacillati; Bacillota; Bacilli; Lactobacillales; Streptococcaceae.
UCAGCUCGUGUCGUGAGAUGUUGGUUAGUCCGCAACGAGCGCAACCCCUACUUGUUAGUUGCCAUCAUUCAGUUGGGCACUCUAGCGGGACUGCCGGUAAUAAACCGGAGGAAGGUGGGGAUGACGUCAAAUCAUCAUGCCCCCUUAUGACCUGGGCUACACACGUGCUACAAUGGUUGGUACAACGAGUUGCGAGUCGGUGAUGGCGAGCUAAUCUCUUAAAGCCAUUCUCAGUUCGGAUUGUAGGCUGCAACUCGCCUACAUGAAGUCGGAAUCGCUAGUAAUCGCGGAUCAGCACGCCGCGGUGAAUACGUUCCCGGGCCUU